CUGCAGACGACGCAUCGGAUCGAAGACCAAAUUCACUGAUUCCUUUUUUCUUUCACAAAUUUCUAUGUAAAAAAGGAAGACAUGGUAUCAUUCGCCAAAUACAGCUUGGUGCCCACAGAGGAACCGAAGGAAAAUGUUGCCCCUCCUCCUCCGCCCCAGAGCUCAGGGGCCUUCGACUACAACUCGGCGUUCAGUUACAAAUCAGCGUUUGACUACGGUAGCAAAACCACCAGUCAGUACCAGUCUGCAUUCGACUAUGGCUAUGGUCAUAGGGGACAUUCUGUUUCCCUCAGUCUGGGGGAGAAGGACAAGGGCAAGAAGGAUCGGUUCAAGAACUGGAGCCUGAUGACCUGCCUGGCAACAGUCGUCACUGCCCUGAGCUACUUCUUCAUCUGCAUCACCUUCCCUGUCACCCUCUGGUUCUGCUUCAAGAAGAUCGCACAAUGGGAGCGGCUCAUUGUGUUCCGUUUGGGGAGGCUGCGUGGCGCUCUAGGCCCUGGCAUUGUGUUCGUCAUCCCCUGGCUGGACCGACACAAUCGCGUUGACAUGAGGACCAAGGCUUUCUCUGUGCCUCCUCAGCAGCUCAUCACAUCGGACAACGGAAUCAUAGAAAUGGGCUGCGAAGUUAAAUACAGGAUCAGCGAUGUCCAGCGGCUCACCACCUCCGUCACGUCUCCCGAACAUGGCCUGCGCUCCUUUGGCAAGACAGUGAUGCUCAACGUGCUCACCAAACACACUGUGAAAGAGACAGAGAGAGACCGGCCAAUCAUUGCAUCGCAAAUCCAGAAGGAGCUCAACCUAAGAGUGUUGGAAUGGGGGAUUGAAAUUGGUGAUGUGUCACUGAGUAACGUAAACAUCUUAAAGGAAGCCGAACCCCACAACCCUCUGAAGCCCCUCAUGAACUGCUUCGGGGGCAAGGGGGGUGAGAUCGUGGCUCCUCCUGGAGCAACAGCCGCAGCUGCCUCUUCAAUACUGAACAUGCCAGGUUUCCCAGGCAUGGGAGACUUCUCCUUUGUCAACACUGGGCCCUCCAAGAAGAAAUCAGAGGCAAUCGUCACAGAGGAUGAACCAUACAUGGGUCGUAUCCAGCAGUACUUGACAGAUCUUCUGGGUUUCUCUGACGAGAUUAGUGAGCAGCCAAUGCAUCCAAAUAUACAAGUGACCAGCAGCCGAUCACCAGACACCAAGCUGGGCAAAUACCUCCAGGGCCUGAUCUCUGGGCCCAAUGGCAACGACCUCACCCACGGUAUAUACAGGCUACAGGUCGAGGGCAAAGACGGUGGGAUCUUCAUUAUCUUCAUAGGCAAUGGAGUGCGUCAGGUGGUGGAGGGUGACUUGGCGAAGGUAACUCCAGAUGUAGCAGUGGUUAUCAGCAAGGAGGACCUGAUGGCCAUCUUUGAGGGCACCCUGGCCCCCUUGCAAGCUUACCUCUCAGGCCACCUGACUGUCCAGGGCAACAUCCAGAUGCUGAUGGGCCUUGAGACACUGAGACAGACCACCAAAGACAAAGACAAAGAGGACAUCUUCGUGGUCUGAUGUUAAAUGAAACGGUGGCACUUCCUUUCCUCCUGUCUGUAAAAGGGGGUGUCAUGGAGUGGCGGAGAUCCUUGUGCCUGAGAACGGUGUAUAGCUGGCAGGACCACAGACCAACCAAUGCUUACACCUCAAGCUUGAAGUAACCAAGUAGAAGACUUUCUACUCAGAACUAUUUAUCUUUUCAUGCUUAUAAAUAAUUGAAAGAACUCGUGGGACAACUGUUUUUGGGAAAAUUAUAAUAAAAAUCGGUAAUAACAUGUCUGCAUUUAUUUACUUUGAAUCAACAUUCUUUUCUUAAUCACAAGGCAACACACAAUAAAGUUAACACUGGUGAAAAUCAGAUCUUACCUAUAUACAAUGAAAAUCAUUCAGCAGAAAUAAAAACACACUGAAAACAGCCUUUUGCCUUUCUACGUUUUUAUCAUACAAAAUACAUUAAAAAGGAAGCUUACAGAACAAAAAUAUCAUAGUAUACUUGUAUGCACUACAAAAAAAAAAGG
RNAcentral lists this unclassified non-coding RNA (2036 nucleotides) under Penaeus chinensis. RNAcentral describes it as "stomatin-like protein 1, transcript variant X5". Lineage: Eukaryota; Metazoa; Arthropoda; Malacostraca; Decapoda; Penaeidae. The record is from RNAcentral.